UAUCUUCAUCACCCACGACUCGGCCGAUCCCGACUCGGUGAUUCCCCUCCUUUCCCCCGCUCAGUCAACUCGGGUCGACCGACUUCACCAGACCAGCGAGUUAGUCUUCCGGUUCGAGCCGUUGAUCAUUGCCCUGGGAUGCAAAGACUUGUGUUCGGCUCAGUUUCUUGUGUCGGCGGCUAUAGCCGCCGGGUUCAGGGAGUCAGGGAUCACCUCUUGCGGCGAUGGCAAAAGGGUAAUUAUUGCUAUACGAUGCUCGAUAAGAAUGGAGGUUCCUCUGGGAGAUACUCACAAGCUUAUGGUCUCGCCUGAGUAUGUGAGGUUCCUUGUUCACAUUGUCAUUGUCAAUGAGAAAAUGGAAGCCAAUAGGAAACGAACUGAUGGGUUUCUUCUAUCCUUCCGAAGUAAUGGUUUCACGGAUCUUUUUGGCUUGUGCUGAUCACAUUAUAUGUCCGUUUGGAGUCUGAUGUAAUUUCCUCUGCCCAUAAGAUGGUUUCACUUCCUGACAAACAUCACAUGUCGUCGCUGGAAAGUAAGAGUGGAGAUCGAGAAGGUGAAGUGGUACGCUCCUCGUAUUCGCCGUCUUGUUGCGACGUGAAGCAGGGACUGCCCUUAUAUCAUAAUGUCUCGAACUGGAAAACCGGAGCGAUAAACCGGUUUCUGCAACAUGAACUAACCGCUAAACCAGCGGUUCCGUACGGAUCGGUAUCUCUCGCGUAUAUCUUUUUAUAUUUGUGUUUCACAUUUCGUCCUGCACAUUAAUGGCGUUGGACGACUGACGACGAAGUUAUAACCAUGUUUUGGUUAUUUAAUUAUUUAGUGAUUAUAUUUAACGACGGAGUAGGCCCCACUAUUAAUCAGUCUGCGGCCCAUGGGCUCAAUAUGAAAGCAGUGGGCCUAUUUGUUUAAAUCGAUGUAGAAAUGUUGUUAGUUCUAUUUCGUUUUCAUGAUGGCACGUCACGUGGAGUCUUUCGAGAUGGAUGACAGCGGAGCGUCCGUAUAUACCCUUUGAAUUAAUUAACUGGCGAUGGAUUUAUCUCUGUAUUUUUUAAUAUUUUUACAUUGCUAAGGAAUGAAUGUGGGGAUACAUGUCAGAUGAGCGUUGAAUCGAGGAAGUGAAAAUUAAAUUCCAAAAAUACCCUUUGAUUUGAACAUAUCUACCUAUCUAUCUGCAGCUGGCAAUCUCCUCUCCUCACCAUCUCUCCGCGGCAGAGCCCUUCUGGUUCUGACCGAAGAAAGAACCCUCUCCUCUCAUCAGCUCCCCAUCCAUACGGCGCUUUUCGUUUUCUGUCGACCAGAUCCUGAUGACCUGGCCAUCCACCGGCGCUCGAGUCGGCACGACAUGUCUGUAAGAUCUGGAUAACCUGGCCACCGGUGCUCGAGUCUAAGACUGAAUAAAAAGUCUCUCCCUUAUCCCUUUCUUCCUUGCGCUCGGAGGCUCUGCUGGGAUCUUCCGUUUUCUGUCGACCAGAUCCGGAUAACCUGGCCACAGGUGCUCGAGUCUAAGGUAAAAUCGUAUCUGUUAUUGCAAAUCUUGAUCCUUAGACUGAAUAAAAAACCUCUCCCUUAUCCCUUUCUUCCUUGCGCUCGGAGAGAUCGGUGGGAUCUUCCGUUUUCUGUCGACCAGAUCCGGAUAACCUGGCCACAGGUGCUCGAGUCUAAGGCUCUGCUGGGGAUCUUCCGUUUUCUGUCGACCAGAUCCGGAUAACCUGGCCACCAGUGCUCGAGUCUAAGGUAAUUCCGUAUCUGUUAUUGCAAAGCUUGACCCUGAGCCUGAAUAAAAAACCUCUCCCUUAUCCCUUUCUUCCUUGCUCUCGGAGGCUCUUCUGGGAUCUUCCGUUUUCUGUCGACCAGAUCCGGAUAAUCUUGAUCCUGAUGCUCUGAGUCUAAUGUAAUUUCGUAUCUGUUAUUGCUAAUCUUGAUACUGAGCCUAGAGAAAAACCAUUCUUCAUAUCCCCUCGCUCAUAGGGCUUCCCGUAUUGUUUUUUGAGAAUAAGUCUCGCUAGACCGGAAUGAUUAUCUCUACCCGAUGUCGAUGUCGCUGGGCGUCACGUUAUCUCUAGUUGCAAAAUAGCAAAUCCUAUUGUAUUUCAUUAUGAAAAAAGAAAUACAAGUUUGAUAAAAUUGAUUAUA
Molecule: long non-coding RNA, 2133 nt
Organism: Tarenaya hassleriana
Lineage: Eukaryota; Viridiplantae; Streptophyta; Magnoliopsida; Brassicales; Cleomaceae
Exons: 4
Source: RefSeq, a predicted model, not a curated record